GCGUUGGUGGUUCAGUGGUAGAAUUCUCGCCUGCCACGCGGGAGACCCGGGUCCGAUUCCUGGCCAAUGCA
Molecule: transfer RNA, 71 nt
Filed under: Danio rerio (zebrafish)
Lineage: Eukaryota; Metazoa; Chordata; Actinopteri; Cypriniformes; Danionidae
Description: tRNA-Gly (GCC) (tRNA-Gly-GCC-106-1)
Rfam family: tRNA
About the family: Transfer RNA (tRNA) molecules are approximately 80 nucleotides in length. Their secondary structure includes four short double-helical elements and three loops (D, anti-codon, and T loops). Further hydrogen bonds mediate the characteristic L-shaped molecular structure. tRNAs have two regions of fundamental functional importance: the anti-codon, which is responsible for specific mRNA codon recognition, and the 3' end, to which the tRNAs corresponding amino acid is attached (by aminoacyl-tRNA synthetases). tRNAs cope with the degeneracy of the genetic code in two manners: having more than one tRNA (with a specific anti-codon) for a particular amino acid; and 'wobble' base-pairing, i.e. permitting non-standard base-pairing at the 3rd anti-codon position.
Source: Rfam by way of RNAcentral